RNAcentral lists this long non-coding RNA (2076 nucleotides) under Lonchura striata (white-rumped munia). RNAcentral's name for it is "domestica (Bengalese finch) lncRNA (ENSLSDG00000010433.1)". Lineage: Eukaryota; Metazoa; Chordata; Aves; Passeriformes; Estrildidae. The record is from RNAcentral.
ACACCUCCGGUUGCCACUUACUCCCCUCUACCCUGGAUAGCAGCUAAUCCCCUCUGCUCCCGGCAGUGCUGGGCCGCUGGGCUGAGAGGCCCAGCCCGCUGCUGGAGAGGGCAGGGAGGGGAAGGGGAGACAAGGAGGGGGGAUUACCUGAGCAAAUCGGCGUCUGAAUCCAACGAGAAUCCAAGAGGGGGGGAGAGAAAUCCGCCCCCCUCCCUCCUCAGAGGAGCCGCCGCCGCCGCUGGGCCGCCGCCGCCGCCGCGGAGCAGGAGGAGGAGGGGAGAUAAUAUAACAACAAUAAUCCGGGCCGGGAGGGGGGCUGGCUCCUCUUCCGUCUCCUCCUCAGUGCAGCGAACAUGUAGAGCCGGGGGGUGUGCGGCCGAGGCAAAUCCCUUCCCCCCGAGCCUGCUUCACAACAUCAACACGGGCCGGGCCGGGCCGCGCCGCGCCGAACCGGUUCCGAGCCGGGGAGAGCGGAGGGUGGCCGAGGGGCAGCGCUGCCAAGGGGCCGCCGCCGCCGCCGCUCCCUCCGAGAGUGCGAGCGCAGGAGGGCGGGGAGGGGCGGCCUGGGCACGAACAAAAUGCCGACCGGAAGUGCAGCGGCAGGAAUGACUCCCUCCACCGGCGCCAAACACCAGCAACCUCCCCCUUCCCUCCGCUGCCUCCUCCUCACCCGAUCGCUCCCUCGCUCCACCAGCGCCGCUUCCGCCGCUGCAGCUGGAGGGGCUCCCUUGCCUCGCCUCUCCCGGUAGUCUCCCCUCCGUAGCUCCUCUCCCUUCCACACCCCUCCGGUUGCUGCACGACCUUCUCUAUUUUUUUUUCUUUUUUUAUUUUCCCCUUCCUCCCUGCCUUUUGGUGCGCGGAACGAGACCGAAGCUUACGUUUAAACCUGCUCUGAGGAACUGUGAAGAAGGGAUUCUCUUGGAAAAAGAAUAUACGUUUUGGUGUUUUUUGUUUGUUUGUUCGGGUUUUUUUGUUGGUGGUGGUGGUUGGUUGGUUGGUUUCUUUUUGUCCUGCCUAAGCAUGGUGGAGAGGACGAGGAGGAGGACUGCCGAAGGCUGCCUCGCAGGAGGCAGACCUGGAAACAGCCCUUAAACUGAACCCUCAAGGGCGGCAGCCCCUGCAGGUGGGACACUCGCUGGAGUGACUGUCGCCGCUCAUGCCCGUUCUCUGUGGACGUGAGAGGCCGCCCCGCAGGAACCAAAGACCCGCUGCUCAAAGCAUUGCCGGGGCGAGGGAUUUCCAGAUGGACAUAGGGAACGAGAGUGACUUUCAAAAACGGACUUUUUGGACCAGCACUGGGGAAAAUACUGAUCAGGUGAAAUGUCCUUCGCUGGAGGCUCAGGCUCCACCACCACCAGAUUUACUGGAAAUAUUUUUUGUGUUGUGAAGGAGUGUUUGGAGACAGAGCAUGUCCUGGUCUGAAAGACUUUUUGAUGUUCCGCUGUACAGGUAAAACUGAAUAAUUAUAGCACAGGGUAAUAAUGAAGAAGCAUUUACAUCCCAUGAAUUAACUGUGUCUUUUGGUACUCACUUAAUGUCGAUUUGCUGCUCAGUACUUGGACAAAAUUCCUUUCAUUUCUAGAGGAAGAACUCCUUGACUGUCGACUUCAGGAAUCAGCUGGACACAGCUGUAAAUACCCUGUGACAUAUAAACACACCCUUUCAGCGCUGGAUGAAUGUUAUUUGCACAAAGGGAUAAAAUCUUACACCAGUGCACCUGAUCUCUCCAAUGCUUAGGAUUUUUUGAAUAGUGCUGUCUUUAAUACAGAUUUCAAAUGCCUCUCUUAUGCUUAAACUACUACAAAAUUCGUAAUUUUGGGUGAAUCAAAGUUUGUCUUAAAGUAUGUUUUUGCUUAAAAGCACAGAAAUGAAGAGGGCACUGGAAAACACGGUAAUUCAGUAGUGGAAAUACUAUUGUUCCAAUGACACGUAUUAACAGAGACAGAGUAAACUGGGUUCUGAAAAAAAUGUAUUACAGACCUUUGUUCCAGGUUAAUAGAAAAGAUCCUAAAAUCGUUUAUGCAUUUAUAAUUUGAAGUUAGCAAUUUGAAAUAAAGGUAAAUAAUUGGUCUUGCA